GUUAUUGUUUUGUGUAGAAACUAGGAUGGUCUAUAUAGUUUCUUCUUCUUCAUGUUUUCUAUAGUAUAUAUCUUUUACCAAACUGUACAAUAACGCUUUUGAAGUAAUGAAAAUGUGUUUUUAUUUUUUUACUUUUGGACAUAUCACUCUGUUUGUUUGUUUUUCUUUUCUGCUUACAUAUCCAGUCAGGUGGAUAAGUUAAUAUUUAUCUAUUACAUAUUUGGUUUCGAAAAGUAGUGGAUACAGUAAGUUACUAAAGAGUAACUGAAAUAAUAAGUUACCUUUUCGAAAAUAUCAAAGUUACUAAAAUAUAAGUAAAAUUAAAAUAAUAAAUUACUAAAGUAAUGAGGCUACGAAUGUUAUCAAAACAAUAAGACAUAUUUUGAAAAGUAACAAAGUAUUAAGUUUCUAAAAAUUAACUAACACUAAUAUAUCACGUUGGAGUUAGUGACCGAUAGGAAAUUAAAAUAGUUUAAAAGGUUAAUUUAUGGCCAGCUGGCAAAAGAAUAAACUUAUGUGGUCUUCUUGUAUUGUGAAUCUUGUGAUACAAUCAUACAAGGUUAAUUUAUGGCCAGCUGGCAAAAGAAUAAAUUCAGAUUUUUUAAAAAUGUAUUCUCUAAAUUGGAGCCUCUUUAGAGAAAUUUGUUUGACCAACAGCAUGCAUUAAACUUUUCCAGCUGUUUUGACUGUUAGUUUCAGUAUUUUGAUUUUUUUUGUACAAUUUUUUAGGACUUGGCAUUUGGUUUAUCACUUUCAGCACUGCUUGGGGAUAAUAUCUACAACUUUGGCGAGCUGCUGGUACAUCCUAUUAGUUAAUUUAACAGAUGGUCUUGAAGGGCUGGCUGGGCGGACUAUUGCCUUGGCAUUUGUUGGAAUGUCAAUUUCAGUGCUUCCAAUAUGUCCUGUGUUGGACACAAGAGAGAGGUCAUUCUUGAAAAACAACUGGCACAGAUUACAGGAAAAGAAAGAGCUGAUCUUAAGGUGAAGAGAGCAGUGAUAAUUAUAGCUAUUCUGAUUGGAUUAACUUGUGGGAUGAUUUUAAUUGGCUUUUACAUUUGCAAGUGGAGAGCAUUUUAUGAUUAUUAGCCAAGUUGGACAAAAACAGGGUAGAUUGAAUAUUGAGGAAGAUGAUGAUGGGCAACCAAGGAAGAAGGUUCAUCUAGGUGUUCCAGCGACACAAUGGAUUUUAGUUUACAAUGCUCGCUAGCCAAUGAAACAGAGGUGCAUUUUUUGAAUGUUAUGUUUUUUUUUUUACCCUUGAAGUAGUAUCAUUUGUCAUUUUUGAUGAUAUUACUAGCAGUAUUCUGCCUAUAUUUCUUUAUGUUAAUUUUUAAAUGCUUGGAUUGGAACCAUAUACAACUUUCUUAAUCUCUCUAUUUUUCUUUGUUGCCAACCAUAAGCAAGAACAAGUGCCCUAUCAGCUGUCAUGUUCUUCUUCUCUGUGCGUCUCUCAAAAUCUCAUCUAUGGU
Molecule: long non-coding RNA, 1469 nt
Organism: Humulus lupulus (European hop)
Lineage: Eukaryota; Viridiplantae; Streptophyta; Magnoliopsida; Rosales; Cannabaceae
Exons: 5
Source: RefSeq, a predicted model, not a curated record